GAGGAAAAUAUAUUGUGUAACGAUUGUAUUACGAAAGGCUUGAUAAGUAUUACGUUAUACAGUUUAUAUAUGAUUUCAUGAUGAUGAUGAUGUUAUUGUUUUCGUAUAUUGACUUAUGAAUUUCACCGAGGUAAGUGAAUGGUAAAGGUUUUAUUAUUGAUAAAAGGUUUUGUUGUAAAUUAUGCUCCAUUGGUCUUUUUGUGUUUUCUACCCACCUUUACCUCCGUGACGGUGAAAUAUCGUGAUGUCUUUACUGGGCUAGUGUAGCUCAUUCCUUAUUUAAUCAUUUCAGAUCAGGAAGACCUUGUUCCCGAGCC
Molecule: long non-coding RNA, 317 nt
Filed under: Carica papaya (papaya)
Lineage: Eukaryota; Viridiplantae; Streptophyta; Magnoliopsida; Brassicales; Caricaceae
Description: long non-coding RNA (CPAP_LNC015598)
Source: RNAcentral